Molecule: non-coding RNA, 78 nt
Organism: Pangasianodon gigas (Mekong giant catfish)
Lineage: Eukaryota; Metazoa; Chordata; Actinopteri; Siluriformes; Pangasiidae
Source: the annotation of a GenBank genome assembly
AUGUAGUGAGGGAGCUUUUCAGUCUCAUAUGUAGUGAGGGAGCUUUUCAGUCUCGUUUGUGUAGCGAGGGAGUUUUUC